This 330-nucleotide ribosomal RNA is filed under the name uncultured eukaryote. RNAcentral describes it as "partial 18S ribosomal RNA". It matches the Rfam family "Eukaryotic small subunit ribosomal RNA", at positions 1470 to 1796 of the family's 1831-position model. The record is from RNAcentral.
CCCUUAGAUGUUCUGGGCCGCACGCGCGCUACACUGAUGCAUUCAACGAGUCUAAAACCUGGUCUGAUAGGGCUGGGUAAUCCUUUGAAUGUGCAUCGUGAUUGGGAUAGAUGAUUGCAAUUCUUCAUCUUCAACGAGGAAUGCCUAGUAAACGCAAGUCAUCAGCUUGCAUUGAUUAUGUCCCUGCCCUUUGUACACACCGCCCGUCGCUCCUACCGAUUGAAUGUUCCGAUGAAUACCAUGGACUGAGAGUAUGAAUGGGUUCGCCUAUUUCUGCUUCUCGGGAAGUGGAGUAAAUCUUAACAUUUAGAGGAAGGAGAAGUCGUAACA